Molecule: long non-coding RNA, 1613 nt
Filed under: Equus asinus (donkey)
Lineage: Eukaryota; Metazoa; Chordata; Mammalia; Perissodactyla; Equidae
Description: lncRNA (ENSEASG00005027483.1)
Source: RNAcentral
CAGCGCCCUGGCCCCGGAGCGGUUUAGCCGCUGCCUUGUGUCGCGGCCGCGUGCCGGGCGAUGGCCGCCCAGACCCCCGGACCCCCGAUCGCCAGUCCCGGGGCUUCCCGCCCGCGCCUCGGUGGAGGGAGGCCCCGGAGGCGCCAUCGCUCGCGCCUGCCACCUGGACGCUGAAUAAACUGGGAAACAAUUAGGUGGCCGGGUGGGGAAGGUGCUGGGUGACUGCACUGCCAGGCGGCCGCGUGCCCCCGCGCUCGCAGGGGUUGGCGACUGGGGGCGGUUGGGAGUUCGUGUUUAGGGAGGAAGGUGAGAGGUGCGGGAUCUGCCCACGAGGGCAGUCGCUCUCGGAGAAUCGGGGAAUGGCUCUGUCAGGUCGCAGGCCCUCCUCCGCCUUUAUCCCCAUCACGCACAAAAAGAAUGGGCCUUGCAAGGGAUGUUUAUUAUGCACUUUUAAGUGACUAUUCAGAAAAGAGCAGGAGGCACAAUAAAAAAGGCUUCUGCCCCACCAAUUCCCUUCCCUUGAAGAAAAAAAGAAAGAGAAAGCCACCCACAAAGAUCAUUUUCAGAACUUGAAAAACAAGUUGUUGUGCAGGUAGAAACGUUCUUUUUUUCCACUGGGAUUUAGUGAAGCAGAUCCCAAAGCUGCCCAGAAACAUGCGCAAAUGGCCUUUGGAUUGUGCCCUGACAGCCUCCAGUGAGGAAUAACUCUGCUGCCAGCAACUAAGACUAACAGCUCCAAAGUAAAGAAGUAAACAACACUGAGUUUUCCUCGCUCCAAAGAAAGCCUGAGAGGACUCCGGUGCCAUCAGCUCCUGGCUUCCCCUUUGCUUUUCUCACUCUGAAGAUUUGCAGUCAGGAGGCACCUGCUCAGAACAGAGAUUACUCGCAUACGGGAUCAACAGAAGAGAGUGCAAAGGUCCAGGCCAGGAGCCAGCUGUCAUCUAAAGAGGGACUUCAGCUGCAAAGCCUGUCCAAACAUCCAUCACAAACAGGUUUUGGUAGUUUUUAUAUGGGUUUGAGCCAGGUUUUUACCUUAUCCAUAUCCCAAAAAGAUGAUCCAUCCCCGUGCCAGAAACUUUCAAAUAAUAAUAAAAAUUAUUUGAUUAUAAGAAAGAAAGGGAAAAGAAAAUGACCAGGCCUCAAACAGAGAAUGACUCAAACAGAGCCUGAGCAGUUGGGAGGAGUCUCCCCGUUGGAGAAUCUACACCAUAUUACAGACUGAAUUUCAACAAGCUAUUUGGGAUGAUUUCGUGACUAAGCAUGAAGCUGGAAUUAUACUGCCUCCUUGGUCAAAGUGCUGUGGACACUUUCCCUUCAUUAUUUCAGGUUUUUUUCUAUGCUGGCACUUUAUUCAAGCUCACAAAAUAACUGUACUUUGUAAACCACAAAAGAAAAUGUACGCCCUUUUAUUUCUAUUGUGUUGGGAGGAUUUGGUGGGGGGUGUUAAUGUUAACUGUUAUUGAUCAUGUUAUUAUUAUUAUUACCAACUUUAACCUAGUCUUCCAUAUCCAUAUAUUUUGCAUAUGCAAAACAACAAAAGCAAAUAGCCAUUUGAAUGUAAUUUGGGUUUCUUCCUUUGUUCUCAAUCUGGUAUGAUUCCAACUAGUUUCAAC